CCUACGGGGGGCAGCAGUGGGGAAUUUUGCGCAAUGCUCGUAAGAGUGACGCAGCGACGCCGCGUGAAUGACGAAGGCCUUCGGGUCGUAAAGUUCUUUCGACAGGGAAGAAAAUGCCUAUAAGUAACUGUGUAUGUAUUGACGGUACCUGUAUAAGCAGCCCCGGCUAACUCCGUGCCAGCAGCCGCGGUAAUACGGAGGGGGCGAGCGUUGUUCGGAGUUACUGGGCGUAAAGAGCACGUAGGCGGUGUUGAAAGUCAUUAGUAAAAGACUAGAGCUCAACUUUAGUAAGGCUGGUGAUACUAUAGUACUAGGGGAUCAGGGGGGAUUGAAGAAUUCCUGGUGUAGCGGUGAAAUGGGUAGAUAUCAGGAGGAAUACCGUUAGCGAGGGCGGCAAUCUGGCUGGAAACUGACGCUGAGGUGCGAAAGCGUGGGUAGCAAACAGGAUUAGAUACCCUGUAGUC
Molecule: ribosomal RNA, 464 nt
Filed under: uncultured bacterium
Lineage: Bacteria
Description: partial 16S ribosomal RNA
Rfam family: Bacterial small subunit ribosomal RNA
Source: RNAcentral